AAAAUGUCAAAAACAUGCCACUAAGUUAUUAGGUUAAUGAAAAGAGCAUUAUUAUUAAGAAUUAGUGGUCCCUAAUAUUAUUAUUAAAUUAUUAGAUGAUAGUUUAUAAAUGGUUUAUCUUUUUUUAUAAUAAUUAAUUAUUAAAUUAGAAAAUGUAAUAUCACUUUUAAAUUCACUAACGAUAUAAGGCACAUUCUAACUGCCCUUAGCAUUAAUAUAUAUAAUGAAUGAAUGAUAUGAGCUUGUGUUGAAAGCUUUAAGCAAGUAUCCAUUAAAAAGUUUCCAUAGCAUAUAUGCUUAAUCAUAGAGUCAUAUAUUUAUAAUCUAUUUGAUUUUCUUAAUUAAGGUAUUAUAAGAUUUGUUAAGAAACAAACAAAUAGUAGUGUUUAUAUAAAUAAAUAUAAUAAUAUUUGUUUGUAUUUUUACAGCUCAUCAAUUCAUCACUUAGGAUAUUUGGAUUUUACUUUAAAAAAGUUAGAGCCAGAAUGCUUGGAGAGAAAGGUUACUCAUUUAUAUACAUAUAUAUAUAUAUAUAUAUAUUUAUACAUAUAAAAAGGAUAGAAUAAUUAGUUAUCUAGAUAUAAACACUACUAUUUGUUUGUAAGGAUGCUAAUAUGCAUAAUUAUGUUGAUAUGUGAAAGACUGGUCCUCUGUUGAUGUAGAUAGUCAUAUAAAAUGCUUACUAAAGUUUUCCUUAUAAUAAUUUGGGCCAAAGGAGAGAGCUUUAUAUUUAUUUAUUACCAAGUUUAUUUCAUAUGAUAAGUCCCUAUAUAAUGUGUAGAGCUUCUUCUGAGAUCUGAGGUGUAGCUAGGAAGAAGUAGAAUGUGUUUCUAUCGAUGGAAAAAAAUACCAUCAAUUAAGGCUCCUAACCACCCUCAAAGGCUUCCAAUAUUCCAUGCAUAAUAUAUAUAUGUCGAUUAUAUAAUUACUACGUGUAUAUUAAAUAAUAGCGUGGGCUAUUGGAAGUUCUUUGAGGAAGGUUAUAAGUCUUAACCAUUAUUAUUAUUAUGUUCAUAUACUACUCGUAUUUCAUGAAUCAUGAUUUAAAGAAACAACAAUAUCUGCACACACAACACAUUUGUAUAUACUCACACCAUGUGGAUAUAUAUAUAUCUUAUAAUUUUUGAUGGGUUUAUUUGGUCAUCACGACUACUUCUAAGCUAUAUGUCAGUAACACAUGCAUUAUAUAAUAAUUUGGUUCAGAUCAUAUUUUUUUACUAUGAUAAAAUUAAACCUCGAGCUUGUUUUAGAUAUGUCAUGCAUGGCGUCAAAUUUGGUUUAUUUAUUUACAUGGUAGUGACGAUCCGCGACCGUUAACCAUCAUAUAUGUUUGAAAUAUCUCAUAUAAUUAGUUAAGGUUGCGUAUCAUAUAUGGGUAUUUAUCGAAUCGAUAUUUCCAGGGGAGCGCCUUCUCAAGCAGCGAACAGGUGGUCUUCCUCAGGCGACGCGGCUUCUUCUUCCUCGUGGCUGUUUUGGAGUUCUGUCGGAAAAGUAGGUCAAUGAAGGUUUGUAAGCCAUCGAUGGAAGUGCUCAGAUCCGGCAGAUAUAUCCAGGGGGGCCACGACCACCCAAUGGUAUAAUGUGGCUCCGCCCCUGGAGCCUGUGAGCAUGAAGUUGUAGUUCAGUUCGUCUUCUGCAGUUGGUAGGGCUCUGUGCACGGCUUAGUGGGUCAACGAUCCCACUGUUGGUUACAGCCGAUUCUCGAUGGAUGUCGGCUUCCAGUUUUGGGGCUUUGCUUGAGUUAAUUAGGUGGCUGUUGCGGUGCAACGAGAUCUCCCUUUUUGUAUUUUUUUUUUUAUUGUUGUGUUUAUAGUUUAACUUUGUGUAAUAAUCUGAAAUCAGUUGUAAUCUUUAGCUCAUAACGGAGAUGAAUUUUUUAGUUGAUUCUUA
Long non-coding RNA from Cannabis sativa, 1890 nucleotides. RefSeq lists it as uncharacterized. NCBI's taxonomy places the organism in Eukaryota, Viridiplantae, Streptophyta, Magnoliopsida, Rosales, Cannabaceae. The transcript is spliced from 2 exons. The record is from RefSeq and is a predicted model, not a curated record.